Molecule: long non-coding RNA, 518 nt
Filed under: Vulpes vulpes (red fox)
Lineage: Eukaryota; Metazoa; Chordata; Mammalia; Carnivora; Canidae
Description: lncRNA (ENSVVUG00000030263.1)
Source: RNAcentral
UGUGGGGCUCAAUCCCAGGACCCUGGGAUCAUGACCUGAGCCAAAGGCAGAUGCUUAACUGACUAAGCUACCCAGGCAUCCCCAAUUGUGUCUUAACAGAGACUUCAGAAAGGCAGAGGAGUGGGAAAGCAUUACAGUGAAAAAGAGGAAGGCUUCAGGUGGCUGCUUGCACCAAACGUCUUUGUGCAUUACAACAUGCAACAACAAAAAAGAACAGGAACUCUAAAAAGGCUUGUGCACAGUGCAUUUGGUUGGAAGGAAUGGCAGUGACUUGUCACCCAAGGAAAGACCUGAGCCUGCUUAGGAAGACUGCUCUGUGGAUCAUCUGCAUGGAAUAGAAAAGAAGAAUUGUUGCUGUGUACUGAACAGACUGACUUGCCAUCUUGUUGGCCUCUCUCAGAAUAUAGAAACCAGAGAUGCUUUUUAGGAAAUUCAAUUAACUAUGUUUAUAAAUGGGGUUAACUGUUUAAGGGAAUUUAAUUUGUUUAGUUUAGCCAUUAAUUGAACAUUAAUAAAAG